This 472-nucleotide ribosomal RNA is filed under the name uncultured organism. RNAcentral describes it as "partial 16S ribosomal RNA". It matches the Rfam family "Bacterial small subunit ribosomal RNA", at positions 332 to 797 of the family's 1533-position model. The record is from RNAcentral.
UACACUCCUGCGGGAGGCAGCAGUGGGGAAUUUUGGACAAUGGCGAAAGCCUGAUCCAGCAAUGCCGCGUGAGUGAAGAAGGCCUUCGGGUUGUAAAGCUCUUUUGUCAGGGAAGAAACGGUGAAAGCUAAUAUCUUUUGCUAAUGACGGUACCUGAAGAAUAAGCACCGGCUAACUACGUGCCAGCAGCCGCGGUAAUACGUAGGGUGCAAGCGUUAAUCGGAAUUACUGGGCGUAAAGCGUGCGCAGGCGGUUUUGUAAGUCUGAUGUGAAAUCCCCGGGCUCAACCUGGGAAUUGCAUUGGGGACUGCAAGGCUAGAAUCUGGCAGAGGGGGGUAGAAUUCCACGUGUAGCAGUGAAAUGCGUAGAUAUGUGGAGGAACGCCGAUGGCGAAGGCAGCCCCCUGGGUCAAGAUUGACGCUCAUGCACGAAAGCGUGGGGAGCAAACAGGAUUAGAUACCCCAGUAGUCCC